This 75-nucleotide transfer RNA is filed under the name Candidatus Hydrogenedentes bacterium CG1_02_42_14. Its description in RNAcentral is "tRNA-Gly". It matches the Rfam family "tRNA". Rfam says of the family: Transfer RNA (tRNA) molecules are approximately 80 nucleotides in length. Their secondary structure includes four short double-helical elements and three loops (D, anti-codon, and T loops). Lineage: Bacteria; Pseudomonadati; Candidatus Hydrogenedentota. The record is from RNAcentral.
GCGGGAGUAGUUCAGCGGUAGAAUACAACCUUGCCAAGGUUGGGGUCGUGGGUUCGAAUCCCAUCUCCCGCUCGA